This 230-nucleotide long non-coding RNA is filed under the name Lathyrus oleraceus (garden pea). Its description in RNAcentral is "Pisum sativum (pea) long non-coding RNA (PSAT_LNC032450)". The record is from RNAcentral. Lineage: Eukaryota; Viridiplantae; Streptophyta; Magnoliopsida; Fabales; Fabaceae.
AUCCCUAAUUAUUACUCUUCAUCAUUAUGAAUGUAUUCCCUUUUUAUCCUUAUAAGUGUAACUUUAUUUUAUCGGUUUCCUCCUUAAAUGAUUUUAUUUCGUCAUUUUGCAUCUUUAAUGAUUAUGUUUCAUCAUUGUGCAUCAUUAAUUAUUGUGUUUCAUCAUUGUGCAUCCUUAAUGAUUUUUUUCAUCAUUAUUUUAACGUCUCUGAGGAUCGUGCCUAACCAAUG